This is a long non-coding RNA of Mandrillus leucophaeus (drill), 437 nucleotides long. RefSeq lists it as uncharacterized. The transcript is spliced from 3 exons. The record is from RefSeq and is a predicted model, not a curated record. NCBI's taxonomy places the organism in Eukaryota, Metazoa, Chordata, Mammalia, Primates, Cercopithecidae.
ACAAGGAUAUCGACAUUUUGAAACCUUGAGUCCUCCAUUCCAAACUCUCCUGUAUAAAGUCUGCAUUUGUAUGGGCAAAAUAAAUGAAACGAGACACAGGAAAUAUGUACUUCACCCUUUUCACACCAACGGAGAUGGCUAGUUUGCCUAGGAGACUAUCGAAAACACAAUUCUAUUAUAGUCACAAAAGAAAAUGAAGUUAGAAAAACUGAAAGUUACCUAUAAAAGUCUGUUGGGCCUGUGAAUUUCCCCCUACCCUCGGGGAACAUGAAUGAGGAUAAUUAGAUGCAUUAGCACCCAUUUUCUUCAGUCACUCAGGCAUUCCGUCUGCGGGUUCUUCAGAGUAUAAUCCCAGAGGCCUUUAUGAACCUUCAACCCUGGAUCCAGCAGCCUCUUUUCAUCCAUUUCUUGAUAUGAAACAAAAAUAAUUUAAUUCA